Molecule: ribosomal RNA, 465 nt
Filed under: Vreelandella stevensii
Lineage: Bacteria; Pseudomonadati; Pseudomonadota; Gammaproteobacteria; Oceanospirillales; Halomonadaceae
Description: partial 16S ribosomal RNA
Rfam family: Bacterial small subunit ribosomal RNA
Source: RNAcentral
CCUACGGGGGGCUGCAGUGGGGAAUAUUGGACAAUGGGGGGAACCCUGAUCCAGCCAUGCCGCGUGUGUGAAGAAGGCCCUCGGGUUGUAAAGCACUUUCAGUGAGGAAGAACGCCUGGUGGUUAAUACCCAUCAGGAAAGACAUCACUCACAGAAGAAGCACCGGCUAACUCCGUGCCAGCAGCCGCGGUAAUACGGAGGGUGCGAGCGUUAAUCGGAAUUACUGGGCGUAAAGCGCGCGUAGGUGGCUUGAUAAGCCGGUUGUGAAAGCCCCGGGCUCAACCUGGGAACGGCAUCCGGAACUGUCAAGCUAGAGUGCAGGAGAGGAAGGUAGAAUUCCCAGUGUAGCGGUGAAAUGCGUAGAGAUCGGGAGGAAUACCAGUGGCGAAGGCGGCCUUCUGGACUGACACUGACACUGAGGUGCGAAAGCGUGGGUAGCAAACAGGAUUAGAUACCCCAGUAGUC